CGUGAGGAACCUGCCUUGGAGUGGGGAAUAACAGCUGGAAACAGCUGCUAAUACCGCAUAAUAUAUCUGGGCCGCAUGGCUCUGGAUAUCAAAGAUUUAUCGCUCUGAGAUGGACUCGCGUCUGAUUAGCUGGUUGGCGGGGUAACGGCCCACCAAGGCGACGAUCAGUAGCCGGACUGAGAGGUUGGCCGGCCACAUUGGGACUGAGACACGGCCCAGACUCCUACGGGAGGCAGCAG
This 239-nucleotide ribosomal RNA is filed under the name uncultured bacterium. RNAcentral describes it as "partial 16S ribosomal RNA". It matches the Rfam family "Bacterial small subunit ribosomal RNA", at positions 116 to 354 of the family's 1533-position model. The record is from RNAcentral.